GUAACUCCAAUUUCUAAACUUGAGAGCUGUACAGGCCUGUUACAAAGUGGUUACCUUUUAACCACUAACUUCCGAGAAAAAACUUGGAUCACUGAGGAGAGAACGAAGACAAAUACAAUUGAAGCCCCAGGGUGAGGAUAAUUAGCAAACGCAGACGUGCUCGCUCGCACAGAACACGCUCCCUCUGGUGGAAGUUCAGCCCCUCCACCUGCUGAGUGCACCACACAGAGCAGACACAAUCCAAGC
Molecule: long non-coding RNA, 246 nt
Filed under: Homo sapiens (human)
Lineage: Eukaryota; Metazoa; Chordata; Mammalia; Primates; Hominidae
Description: HSALNT0075476
Source: RNAcentral